UACGUAGGGGGCAAGCGUUUGUUCGGAUUACUGGGCGUAAAGGGCGCGUAGGCGGCCAGCGCAAGUCAGUUGUGAAAUCUCCGGGCUUAACUCGGAAAGGUCAACUGAUACUGCGCGGCUAGAGUGCAGAAGGGGCAACUGGAAUUCUCGGUGUAGCGGUGAAAUGCGUAGAUAUCGAGAGGAACACCUGCGGCGAAGGCGGGUUGCUGGGCUGACACUGACGCUGAUGCGCGAAAGCCAGGGGAGCGAACGGG
This 254-nucleotide ribosomal RNA is filed under the name uncultured bacterium. RNAcentral's name for it is "partial 16S ribosomal RNA". It matches the Rfam family "Bacterial small subunit ribosomal RNA", at positions 524 to 776 of the family's 1533-position model. The record is from RNAcentral.